Molecule: transfer RNA, 75 nt
Filed under: Candidatus Cloacimonadota bacterium
Lineage: Bacteria; Pseudomonadati; Candidatus Cloacimonadota
Also listed under: 1 other name
Description: tRNA-Thr
Rfam family: tRNA
About the family: Transfer RNA (tRNA) molecules are approximately 80 nucleotides in length. Their secondary structure includes four short double-helical elements and three loops (D, anti-codon, and T loops).
Source: RNAcentral
GCCAGCGUGGCUCAACGGUAGAGCAACGCACUUGUAAUGCGUAGGUUGUGGGUUCGAUUCCUACCGCUGGCACCA